Molecule: long non-coding RNA, 264 nt
Organism: Cervus elaphus (red deer)
Lineage: Eukaryota; Metazoa; Chordata; Mammalia; Artiodactyla; Cervidae
Exons: 3
Source: RefSeq, a predicted model, not a curated record
CACAAAUGUACACACUCCGUGUGGACCAGUACAGACCCCCACAUCCUGAUGCUAUAGGGUGAGAUACUCUUGGCUGAGCUGAAGUCACAUCUUGGUUAUUAUCCUUUGACGACUAUGGCCCUUCCAGGACUGGCAUCUCAGGAGGCAAGGUCUUGCUAGCCAUAUGUGUAAUAAGCUUCUCAGGAUCAGAAAGUGUCCUCUCCAGGACCUCUCAGAGAAGCACAGAGGCGAUUUCGGGAGACACUGCCUUGCUCACAUCCAAGG